Molecule: small RNA, 106 nt
Filed under: Marmota monax (woodchuck)
Lineage: Eukaryota; Metazoa; Chordata; Mammalia; Rodentia; Sciuridae
Source: RNAcentral
ACUGGGCAUGGUGUGCAUGCCUGUAAUCCCAGCAACUCAGGAGGCUGAGGCAGGAGGAUCGUGACUUCAAAGCCUGUUUCAGCAAUUUAGCAAGGCCCUGUCUCUA